AGGUAAAGUGGUGGUGGCUGUCUUGAAGUCCUUGGUCCUUUAUGCUGACCAACUCCUUGUGUAAUGGAAAAGACGAGAACUCCAUCUGUUUAGACAAAAAUAUGACAUUGAUAAGACUGUAAUGAGGUCGUAACUUGCCAGAAAAGAAGCUCUGAAACAGGAAAAUCAGGCUGCACUGCUGAACACGAUGAGGAAAGUGUCAGUGUGAUAAGACUGCAUACUUCAUCUACUUCAUCUCUUGGGACUUUUUGUUCUUCAAACAUAAAAAUACAUUUUGUCAGUAGUUGUUUAAUUAGGUGUUGCAGGCAGAUCUAGUCAAUAGAAAGUAAACCUUGGCUGUUCCUUCGCUUCCAGUUUUCUAUAUAUGAUUUUGGUAGCUAUCAGAAUACAGAUGUGUGGUGAGAGUCUAGACCACCCACUGAAGAAAAAUGUGUCCAGGUCCAUACCUUCCUGGAGGAAAGACAUACCUAUAAAAUCUGUCUGCUGAUUUUAUAUUUAAGAGUGAUAUUUUGUACUUUUGACAGAAGGAUCUUAAGAGCUGACAGAAAUUUUGAUUUCAUGUCUCCGUAGCUUAAGACACUGUGUGUGAUAGCUUAGGUUUCAUUCAUUAAUCCUGAAGGAAAUAAAAAGCUUGAAUCAAAAUAUUAAAAUUUCCUGACAUUAUGGUUGAGAUAAUAAAGAAAUGAUGGAAAUGGC
Long non-coding RNA from Anas platyrhynchos (mallard), 696 nucleotides. RefSeq lists it as uncharacterized. Lineage: Eukaryota; Metazoa; Chordata; Aves; Anseriformes; Anatidae. The record is from RefSeq and is a predicted model, not a curated record.